RNAcentral lists this ribosomal RNA (210 nucleotides) under uncultured bacterium. Its description in RNAcentral is "partial 16S ribosomal RNA". It matches the Rfam family "Bacterial small subunit ribosomal RNA", at positions 524 to 730 of the family's 1533-position model. The record is from RNAcentral.
UACGGGGGGGGGCAAGCGUUGUUCGGAAUUACUGGGCGUAAAGGGCUCGUAGGCGGCCAACUAAGUCGGAUGUGAAAUCCCCCAGGCCUAACCUGGGAAUGCAUCCGAUACUGGAUGGCUUUGAAUCCGGGAGAGGGAUGCAGAAUUCCAGGUGUAGCGGUGAAAAUGCGUAGAUAUCUGGAGGAAUACCGGUGGCGAAGGCGGCAUCCU